Molecule: ribosomal RNA, 474 nt
Filed under: uncultured organism
Description: partial 16S ribosomal RNA
Rfam family: Bacterial small subunit ribosomal RNA
Source: RNAcentral
ACUCCUGCGGGAGGCAGCAGUGGGGAAUAUUGCACAAUGGGCGCAAGCCUGAUGCAGCCAUGCCGCGUGUAUGAAGAAGGCCUUCGGGUUGUAAAGUACUUUCAGCGGGGAGGAAGGCGAUAAGGUUAAUAACCUUGUUGAUUGACGUUACCCGCAGAAGAAGCACCGGCUAACUCCGUGCCAGCAGCCGCGGUAAUACGGAGGGUGCAAGCGUUAAUCGGAAUUACUGGGCGUAAAGCGCACGCAGGCGGUCUGUCAAGUCGGAUGUGAAAUCCCCGGGCUCAACCUGGGAACUGCAUUCGAAACUGGCAGGCUAGAGUCUUGUAGAGGGGGGUAGAAUUCCAGGUGUAGCGGUGAAAUGCGUAGAGAUCUGGAGGAAUACCGGUGGCGAAGGCGGCCCCCUGGACAAAGACUGACGCUCAGGUGCGAAAGCGUGGGGAGCAAACAGGAUUAGAAACCCGUGUAGUCCCAUGA